CCUGAUCCAGCCAUGCGCGUGAGUGAAGAAGGCCUUCGGGUUGUAAAGCUCUUUCGGCCGGGAAGAAAUCGCAUGGGCCAAUACCCUGUGUGGAUGGACGGUACCGGAAUAAGAAGCACCGGCUAACUACGUGCCAGCAGCCGCGGUAAUACGGUAGGGUGCGAGCGUUAAUCGGAAUUACUGGGCGUAAAGCGUGCGCAGGCGGUUUUGUAAGACAGGCGUGAAAUCCCCGGGCUUAACCUGGGAACUGCGCUUGUGACUGCAAGGCUAGAGUACGGCAGAGGGGGGUGGAAUUCCACGUGUAGCAGUGAAAUGCGUAGAGAUGUGGAGGAACACCAAUGGCGAAGGCAGCCCCCUGGGUCGAUACUGACGCUCAUGCACGAAAGCGUGGGUAGCAAACAGGAUUAGAUACCCUGGUAGUCCACGCCCUAAACUAUGUCAACUAGGUGUUGGGUGGGUAAAACCAUUUAGUACCGUAGCUAACGCGUGAAGUUGACCGCCUGGGGAGUACGGCCGCAAGGUUAAAACUCAAAGGAAUUGACGGGGAC
This 548-nucleotide ribosomal RNA is filed under the name uncultured bacterium. Its description in RNAcentral is "bacterial SSU rRNA". It matches the Rfam family "Bacterial small subunit ribosomal RNA", at positions 382 to 920 of the family's 1533-position model. The record is from RNAcentral.